AAUAUUGGACAAUGGGCGCAAGCCUGAUCCAGCCAUGCCGCGUGUGUGAAGAAGGCCUUCGGGUUGUAAAGCACUUUUGUCCGGAAAGAAAAGCGCCUGAUUAAUACUCGGGUGUUAUGACGGUACCGGAAGAAUAAGCACCGGCUAACUACGUGCCAGCAGCCGCGGUAAUACGUAGGGCGCAAGCGUUGUCCGGAAUUAUUGGGCGUAAAGAGCUCGUAGGCGGCUUGUCACGUCGGGUGUGAAAGCCCGGGGCUUAACCCCGGGUCUGCAUUCGAUACGGGCUAGCUAGAGUGUGGUAGGGGAGAUCGGAAUUCCUGGUGUAGCGGUGAAAUGCGCAGAUAUCAGGAGGAACACCGGUGGCGAAGGCGGAUCUCUGGGCCAUUACUGACGCUGAGGAGCGAAAGCGUGGGGAACGAACAGGAUUAGAUACCCUGGUAGUCCACGCCCUA
This 452-nucleotide ribosomal RNA is filed under the name uncultured marine bacterium. RNAcentral's name for it is "bacterial SSU rRNA". It matches the Rfam family "Bacterial small subunit ribosomal RNA", at positions 360 to 804 of the family's 1533-position model. The record is from RNAcentral.